Non-coding RNA from Paramuricea clavata, 164 nucleotides. The record is from the annotation of a GenBank genome assembly. Lineage: Eukaryota; Metazoa; Cnidaria; Anthozoa; Malacalcyonacea; Plexauridae.
AUGUGGAUAAUAUAGCCUUGCAAAGUUUGCCGUUUUUCAGUCAUUUUGUAUUACAAUCUAACAUUUUGCAUCAGUUUGAUCAUCUGAUGCAAAAUGUUAGAUUGUACAGUAAUACAAAAUUACUAAAAAACGGCAAACUUUGCAAGGCUAUAUUAUCCGCAUUU